This 1103-nucleotide ribosomal RNA is filed under the name Kudoa dicentrarchi. Its description in RNAcentral is "partial 28S ribosomal RNA". It matches the Rfam family "Eukaryotic large subunit ribosomal RNA", at positions 104 to 1087 of the family's 3401-position model. Lineage: Eukaryota; Metazoa; Cnidaria; Myxozoa; Multivalvulida; Kudoidae. The record is from RNAcentral.
AAGCCCAUCGUUUAAUCUCCCUGGACURUGGACAGGGCGAAAUGUAACGGUAUGGAUAGGUCUUCUACUAGUAUUCUCUGAUCAAAGUCCUCCGGAUUGAGGCGCCAAAGAGGGUGACAGCCCCGUAUGUGGUUGGAGAAUGCUGGGUAUGUGGCCAAUUCUGAGAGUCGGGUUGUUUGGGAUUGCAACCUAAAGYMGGUGGUAAACUCCACCUAAGGCUAAAUAUAGACACGAAACCGAUAGCGAACAAGUACUGUGAGGGAAAGUUGAAAAGAACUCUGAAAAGAGAGUUAAAAGUACGUGAAACCGCUAACGGGGAAGCGGAAGGCAGUGUCGUGAUCUUGUGAGUGAGGCAGCUUAAAGUAAYUAGUUAUUUUUCGCGAGAUGCUAGGUUACUUUGAGCUGUGAGCUUACUUGAUGCGUCAGGUCUACUGGCCCAAUCAAGUUCAAUGGCUUAUGUGGCUGUACAAAUACCCUUCCUCGGGAGGGUUUGUGCUAGCGGUAGGUCAUCCACUUGAUAGGCUAGUAGAGUUGUAAUGAGGCGUUGGUGAUUAUUAUCGGUUUGUUUAGUUGAAUGCUGUUUAUUGGUCACAUUGUGGCUGCAUAGGCAGAAAUUUUACUAGGUUAACAUCCAAUGCCAGUACCUGACGAGAUACCUAACUUUCCGACCCGUCUUGAAACACGGACCAAGGAGGCAGAAUCUGGAGCGAGUUGGAGGGUGGUAAACCCGACGGCGUAGUGAAAGCAAGAGAUGAGAUCCGUUGACCUCGGUUGGCGGAGCAUCAUCGGCCAGUCUUAUAGAUUGAGUUUGAGCUCCAGGUGCUGGACCCGAAAGAUGGUGAACUAUACGUGAGCAGGGUGAAGCCAGAGGAAACUCUGGUGGAAGCUCGAAGCGAUUCUGACGUGCAAAUCGAUCGUUUGACUUGUGUAUAGGGGCGAUAGACUAAUCGAACCAUCUAGUAGCUGGUUCCCUUCGAAAUAUCCCUCAGGAUCGCUGAGACAAGUGAUAGACAGUUUCAUCGGGUAGAGCGAAUGAUUAGAGGACUCGGGGACAUAUUACUCUCGACCUAUUCUCAAACUACCAACCGGUGAGAGCAUUGUUU